Molecule: long non-coding RNA, 330 nt
Organism: Arabidopsis thaliana (thale cress)
Lineage: Eukaryota; Viridiplantae; Streptophyta; Magnoliopsida; Brassicales; Brassicaceae
Product: other RNA
Exons: 1
Source: RefSeq
UAACAAGAUACAGAAUCCACCUGCAAGAUUCCAAUCUCAGAACAUCAAAAAGAGAAGGUCCAUAAUGAUUUAACAAAGAUGCAUUUUGCAAUUUAGGGCAGAUAUAUAGUCAGAAACAGUUCCGGAAUAAGAGUCAAAAACUGCCAAAUUUGGAGAAUUUAGCUAGGGUUUCUCAAAAAGGAAACAAAUUGAAGAAAUUAAAAGCAGAAUCAUGUCAAAGUCUAAACAUUUCCCAGAAAACGCGUGAUGGGUUUUUGUAGCGAAACCUACCAAUGGAAUUGAGAAACGAAGAAAGGUAAGAACUUUACCAAUGGAGCUUGAAGACGAAAA